Molecule: ribosomal RNA, 438 nt
Filed under: uncultured Glomeromycotina
Lineage: Eukaryota; Fungi; Glomeromycota
Description: SSU rRNA
Rfam family: Eukaryotic small subunit ribosomal RNA
Source: RNAcentral
AGCAGCCGCGGUAAUUCCAGCUCCAAUAGCGUAUAUUAAAGUUGUUGCAGUUAAAAAGCUCGUAGUUGAAUUUCGGGAUCAAUACGUCGGUCGUGCUUCGGUACGUACUGGUGUCAUUGAUUUCUCCCUUCUGACGAACCAUGAUGUCAUUAACUUGGUGUCAUGGGAAAUCAGGACUGUUACUUUGAAAAAAUUGAGUGUUUAAAGCAGGCUCACGCUUGAAUACAUUAGCAUGGAAUAAUGAAAUAGGACGUUCGAUCCUAUUUUGUUGGUUUCUAGGAUUAACGUAAUGAUUAAUAGGGAUAGUUGGGGGCAUUAGUAUUCAAUUGUCAGAGGUUGAAAUUCUUGGAUUUAUUGAAGACUAACUACUGCGAAAGCAUUUGCCAAGGAUGUUUCAUUAAUCAAGAACGAAGUUAGGGAUCGAAGACGAUCAGAUAC